GUCAGCUUGACAUAGUGGUUUGAGUGUUGGACUGCGAUUCUGGAGACCAGGGUUCAAUUCCCAGCUCAGCCA
RNAcentral lists this transfer RNA (72 nucleotides) under Phrynosoma platyrhinos (Desert horned lizard). Its description in RNAcentral is "tRNA-OTHER". Lineage: Eukaryota; Metazoa; Chordata; Lepidosauria; Squamata; Phrynosomatidae. The record is from RNAcentral.